GACGAACGCUGGCGGCGUGCUUAACACAUGCAAGUCGAACGGUAAGGCCCUUCGGGGUACACGAGUGGCGAACGGGUGAGUAACACGUGGGUGAUCUGCCCUGCACUUCGGGAUAAGCCUGGGAAACUGGGUCUAAUACCGGAUAGGACCACUGCCUGCAUGGGUGGUGGUGGAAAGCUUUUGCGGUGUGGGAUGGGCCCGCGGCCUAUCAGCUUGUUGGUGGGGUGAUGGCCUACCAAGGCGACGACGGGUAGCCGGCCUGAGAGGGUGACCGGCCACACUGGGACUGAGAUACGGCCCAGACUCCUACGGGAGGCNNCAGUGGGGAAUAUUGCACAAUGGGCGCAAGCCUGAUGCAGCGACGCCGCGUGAGGGAUGACGGCCUUCGGGUUGUAAACCUCUUUCAGCACCGACGAAGCGCAAGUGACGGUAGGUGCAGAAGAAGGACCGGCCAACUACGUGCCAGCCGCCGCAGUAA
RNAcentral lists this ribosomal RNA (478 nucleotides) under uncultured bacterium. Its description in RNAcentral is "partial 16S ribosomal RNA". It matches the Rfam family "Bacterial small subunit ribosomal RNA", at positions 28 to 523 of the family's 1533-position model. The record is from RNAcentral.